RNAcentral lists this ribosomal RNA (254 nucleotides) under uncultured bacterium. RNAcentral describes it as "partial 16S ribosomal RNA". It matches the Rfam family "Bacterial small subunit ribosomal RNA", at positions 524 to 776 of the family's 1533-position model. The record is from RNAcentral.
UACGGGGGGAGCAAGCGUUGUUCGGAUUUACUGGGCGUAAAGGGCGCGUAGGCGGUCAGCACAAGUCAGUUGUGAAAUCUCCGGGCUUAACCCGGAAAGGUCAACUGAUACUGUGCGACUAGAGUGCGGAAGGGGCAACUGGAAUUCUCGGUGUAGCGGUGAAAUUCGUAGAUAUUCGCAAGAACACCAGUGGCGAAGGCGGCUCACUGGCCCGGUACUGACGCUGAGGUGCGAAAGCGUGGGGAGCAAACAGG